Molecule: ribosomal RNA, 253 nt
Filed under: uncultured bacterium
Lineage: Bacteria
Description: partial 16S ribosomal RNA
Rfam family: Bacterial small subunit ribosomal RNA
Source: RNAcentral
UACGAAGGGUGCGAGCGUUAUUCGGAAUCACUGGGCGUAAAGGGUGCGUAGAUGGUGUGUUAAGUUUGUUGUUAAAGGCUCCGGCCUAACUGGAGUAUUGCGAUGAAAACUGGCGCGCUAGAGGGUGAGAGAGAGAAGUGGAAUUCCCGGAGUAGCGGUAAAAUGCGUGGAUCUCGGGAGGAACACCAAUGGCGAAGGCAGCUUCUUGGCUCAUUCCUGACAUUGAGGCACGAAAGCGUGGGGAGCAAACAGG